This is a long non-coding RNA of Callithrix jacchus (white-tufted-ear marmoset), 2830 nucleotides long. RefSeq lists it as uncharacterized. Lineage: Eukaryota; Metazoa; Chordata; Mammalia; Primates; Cebidae. The record is from RefSeq and is a predicted model, not a curated record.
AUUUUCUUUUCCAGGACCUGCAAAGAACCGAGGUUUCUAAGCAGUAGGGGCCAGCCGCAGCUCACGCCGAGCUACUCGGGAGGCUGAGGUGAGAGGAUCGCUUGAGCCCAGGAGUUCGAGGCUGCAGUGAGCUGUGAUUGCACCAUUGCACUCAAGCCUGGACAACACAGUGAGAUCUUGUCUCAAAAAAAAAAAAAAAAAGCCUGGUGCGCUGGCUCACGCCUGUAGUCCCAACACUUAGGGAGGCCGAGGCGGGCAGAUCACUGGAGGUGAGGAGUUCAGAUAUUACCCUGGCCAACAUGGUGAAACCCUGUCUCAACUAAAAAUACAAAAAUUAUUCAUGCAUGGUGGGGCACCCGUAAUCCCAGCUACCCUGGAGGCUGAGGCACAAGAAUCGCUCAAACCUGGGAGGCAGAGGUUGCAGUGAGCCGAGAUCGUGCCACUGCACUUCAGCCUGGGCUACAGAGCUAGCCAAAAAAAAAGAAAGAAAAGAAAAGAAAAAAGAAAGAGGAGGAAGGAAGGGGGGGAAGAGCAGGAAGGAAGAGCAGGAAGAAAAAAGGAGAGAAGGAAGGAGAGGAAGGGAGGGAGGGAAGGAGGAAGGAAGGAAGGGAGAAAGGGAGGGAGGGAGGGAAGGAAGGAAGGAGGGAGGGCAGGCGGGCAGCGGGAGAAACAGGAACAACAUAACUGAAGAGGAGAUACAGAGCAAGGGCACUGAGUAAAGUGUGGCCCAUCAGGGAAGGUUCUCAGAGAGGCGAGUCUGGAACAGCAUUGUAAUAUCUAAAUCUCUUGACUGGGAUUAGCCAUCAGGAAAAGAAGAAGUCGUCCCAGAGAAACAGUUCUCAAACUGUUGGAUCUUGGGACCCAUUUACAGUAUUAGAAAUUAUAGAAGAGGCCAUUUUCCAUAUUAGACAUUUUUGAGGCCAGGUGCAGUGGCUCAUGCCUGUAAUUCCAACAUUUUGGGAGGCUGAGGCGAGUGGAUCGCUUGAGUGAGGUCAGCAGUUCAAGACCAACCUGGCUAACAUGGUGAAACCCCAUUUCAAAAUACAAAAAAAUUAGCUGGGUAUGGUGGCAGGCGCCUAUAAUCCCAGCUACUCAGGAGACUGAGACAGAAUCGCUUGAACCCAAGAGGUGAAGUUUGCAGUGAGCCAGCAUCAUACCACUGCACUCCAGUCUGGGUGACAGAGCAAGACUAUGUCUCAAAAAAAAAAAAAAAAAAAAAAAAAAAAAAAGGCAUGUGCCUGUAGUCUUAGCUAUUUCCAGCUUUUCUGGAGACUGAGGCAAGACAAUCUCUUAGUUAAGGAGUUCGAGACCAGCUGGGGCAACAUAUCGAGAGCCGUUUCAAAAAAAUUUAAAAAGCUAUCAAGCCAUGAAAAAACAUGGAAGAACCUUAAAUUCAUAUUGCCAAGUGAAAGAAAUCAAUGUGGAAAGACUGCAAACUGUAUGAUUCCAACUAUAUGGCAUAUAUAUAUAUAUAUAUAUAUAUUUUUUUUUUUUUUUGAGUCAAAGUCUUGCUCUGUUGCCCAAGAUGGUCUUGAACUCCUGGUCUCAAGCAAUCCUCCCGCUUCAGCCUCCCAAAGUGCUGGGAAUACAGGCAUGAGGCACUGCGCUUGGCCUCAACUAAAUGAUAUUCUAAAAAGGCUAAACUAUGGAGACAAUAAUAAGAUCAGUGACUGCCAGGGAGGUAGAGUUGCCGGGAGGAAGGGAUGAUAGGUGGAGUACAGGGGAGUUUUACAGAAGUGAAACUAUUUUGUAUGAUGUUGUAAUAGUGUCAUGGUGGAUAUACAUCAUACCUGUGUGUAAACCCUUAGAAUGUACAAUGCAAAGAGUAAACCCUAAUGUAAUUUAUGGACUUUGUUAAUUAUAAUGUAUCAAUAUGGACUAUGUUAAUAAUAUACUGAUACUGGCUCAUCAGUUGUAACAAAUGCACCACACCAACUGAAAAAGGUUAAUAAUAGGAUAAAUGGGGAGCCUGAAGGGGGAUAUGGGAACUCUCUGCACUUUUUCUUUUUUUUGAGACACAGUCUUCCUCUGUCACCCAGGCUGGAGGGGCAGUGGCACAAUCUUGACUCACUGCAGCCUUGACCUUCCAGGCUCAAGUGAUCCUCCUACCUCAGCCUCCCAAGUACCUGGACUACAGGUGUGCAUCACUGCGCCUGGCUAAUAUUUGUAUGUUUUGUAGAGAUGGGGUUUCACCAUGUUGCCCAGGCUGGCCUCAAACUUUUGAGGUCAAGUGAUCCUCCCUCCUUGGCCUCCUGAAGUGUUGGGAUUAUAGGUGUGAGCCACCGCUCUCAGGCCUGGAAUUCUCUGUACUUUCUGCCCAAUUUUUCUGUAAGCCUAAAACUAUCCACCCAAAAUAGUCUGUUAAUUUAAAAACAACCAUAGGCUGGGCAUAGUGGCUCAUGCCUGUAAUCCCAGGAAUUUGGGAGGCCAAUAAGGGAGGAUCACUUGAGCUGAGGAAUUCAAGACCAGCCUGGGCAACAUGGUGAAACCCCAUCUCUACAAAACAUACAGAAAAUACAAAAAUUAGCCAGGCACAGUGGUGCACGCCUGGAGUCCCAGCUGCUUGGGAGGCUAAAGUGGGAAGAACACUUGAGCCUGGGAGGUUGAGACCACAGUGAGAUGUCAUUGUGCCACUGCACUCCAGCCUGGGCAACAGUGAGACCCUGUAAGGAGGGAGAGGAGGAGGGAGAGGGAGAGGGGGUCCAGCUGCAUCAAAGAAUGCAACUGGACACUAUCUGCUUUUUUGGUUGUGUGCAUCAAAGGGAUACUUGAGAGUGAAAAGAAUGAAAGUUUUUUUGUUUUUUUGGGUUUUUUUUGAGACGGAGUUUCA